This 253-nucleotide ribosomal RNA is filed under the name uncultured bacterium. RNAcentral describes it as "partial 16S ribosomal RNA". It matches the Rfam family "Bacterial small subunit ribosomal RNA", at positions 524 to 776 of the family's 1533-position model. The record is from RNAcentral.
UACGGAGGGCGCAAGCGUUGUUCGGAAUCAUUGGGCGUAAAGCGCGUGUAGGCGGCCAUUUAAGUCGGAUGUGAAAGCCCGGGGCCCAACCCCGGAACUGCAUUCGAUACUGAUUGGCUGGAGUCCCGGAGAGGAAGGCGGAAUUCCCGGUGUAGAGGUGAAAUUCGUAGAUAUCGGGAGGAACAUCAGUGGCGCAGGCGGCCUUCUGGACGGUGACUGACGCUGAGACGCGAAAGCGUGGGGAGCAAACAGG